GACGAACGCUGGCGGCGUGCUUAACACAUGCAAGUCGAACGGAAAGGCCCUGCUUUUGUGGGGUGCUCGAGUGGCGAACGGGUGAGUAACACGUGAGUAACCUGCCCUUGACUUUGGGAUAACUUCAGGAAACUGGGGCUAAUACCGGAUAGGAGCUCCUGCUGCAUGGUGGGGGUUGGAAAGUUUCGGCGGUUGGGGAUGGACUCGCGGCUUAUCAGCUUGUUGGUGGGGUAGUGGCUUACCAAGGCUUUGACGGGUAGCCGGCCUGAGAGGGUGACCGGCAACCUUGGGACUGAAAUACGGCCCAGACUCCUACGGGAGGCAGCAGUGGGGAAUAUUGCACAAUGGGCGGAAGCCUGAUGCAGCAACGCCGCGUGCGGGAUGACGGCCUUCGGGUUGUAAACCGCUUUCGCCUGUGACGAAGCGUGAGUGACGGUAAUGGGUAAAGAAGCACCGGCUAACUACGUG
Molecule: ribosomal RNA, 468 nt
Filed under: uncultured bacterium
Lineage: Bacteria
Description: partial 16S ribosomal RNA
Rfam family: Bacterial small subunit ribosomal RNA
Source: RNAcentral